RNAcentral lists this ribosomal RNA (253 nucleotides) under uncultured bacterium. RNAcentral describes it as "partial 16S ribosomal RNA". It matches the Rfam family "Bacterial small subunit ribosomal RNA", at positions 524 to 776 of the family's 1533-position model. The record is from RNAcentral.
UACGUAGGGUGCGAGCGUUAAUCGGAAUUACUGGGCGUAAAGCGUGCGCAGGCGGUUCGCCAAGUCAGGUGUGAAAUCCCCGGGCUUAACCUGGGAAUUGCGCUUGAAACUAGCGGGCUUGAGUGUGGCAGAGGGGGGUGGAAUUCCACGUGUAGCAGUGAAAUGCGUAAAGAUGUGGAGGAACACCGAUGGCGAAGGCAGCCCCCUGGGUCAACACUGACGCUCAUGCACGAAAGCGUGGGGAGCAAACAGG